This is a long non-coding RNA of Numida meleagris (helmeted guineafowl), 3755 nucleotides long. RefSeq lists it as uncharacterized. The record is from RefSeq and is a predicted model, not a curated record. The transcript has 3 exons. Lineage: Eukaryota; Metazoa; Chordata; Aves; Galliformes; Numididae.
AUUCCUGUGUAUUUGAGGCCUUCUGAAGUAACACAUGGCACUUUAGCCCACAGUUCCAAUAAAACAAACAACAAUUAAUGGAGCUGGAAAACUGAGCCAGCUCUGCCUGUGAGCUGGAGGACCCUGCCAAUGAAAGCUCUGCAGGAUGACAGCUCUGAAGCCCCAGUAGCUCAUCUCGUUCUCUCUGUUGGCACGUGGUAAUCUCCUCUGAAUUGUGAAACUGCUGGCUUUCGCUGUUUGACUUUAUUGUGGUCUUCCCUAGCAGAGCGGGCUCUUGUGUGUUGUGCACAAAGGUGUGCAAUGCUUUGAAUACCAAGCAAAUCUGGCUUGCAAACCCGCUUAACGGGUUCUUGUUACCCAGCUGACCUUCCUCACUGGGAAGAUGGCCAUGCAACUGGGAUCAAGGUAGCACACAUCAAAGACUUAUUGACAGCUCAGCAUCCCACCAAGCACAACAAUAAACAUCUCCUGGCUGCAGAUACCGAGGAUCCAAAAGUUGGUAGCAAGAGCUUAUGGCUCUUCUUGGGUCGCUUCCCAGAUCUGGUCCAGCUAACGUGGAGGCCAUGAAAGGACAUCCCUCUUGAUGUGAGUUCCAUGAAGACAACGAAAUAAUUAGGAUGUAGAACAGAGCAGUAUCUCUCUCUUUUCCAGAGUCAGGGGCAGUGUGUUGGGAUGAUGCUUUUCAUUCUCUGGGAACAUGAGAUAUCUUCAACACCUUCUAGCAAGCAUAGUCCUUUGGCCUGGGUCCUUACGGAGGCUGGCAAUGGUAAUGACAAAUACCUUCAGUUUUCCCCAUUCUGCUAUCAAAGAUUCAGUCUCCUUUGGUUCUGUGUUUGGCAGCUGGAGGAAGGUUCCAGAAGACCCGUGUGGGGUGAACAUUACACUUACAUGUCCAAAGAAGCACCACACUCCCUGUUUUCUUGUACAGCUGAAAAUGGCAAUAGACUGUGGGAACCAAUGAAUUGCUGUCAAGGGGGAAAAAAAGCAGCUUACAUUUAGUGGGUGGAAAUGCAAGCAUCAUCCAGCAAAGAAAUUUUAGUGAAGUCCUUUUUAGCUAUCAUCAGUGUUCAUUCAGAUUUGUAAGUAGAUAAAUACAAUCUACUGAAGCAAAGGAAAGUGAUCCAUUUUAACACAUACCACAGGUGUCUGAGCAGCAAUGAAAAGCAGAUUGCAUCCUAACAUGUCUGAAGAGGAUUCUUAGCCACCUUUACUAGCUAAUUCAAAAGGUAUGCUUAACCCAGACAGAAACGUGCUAUGGGGUAAGAGGAUGCUCUGAACUGGAAAACCCAAAUGAGAACCCUAUAUUCCUGCAACCGUCAGCCACAUCUUGUGGUCAUCAGUCAAAUAUCACAACCUUGGAGCAACGUCUUAUGGGAGCCUGAUAUUUUUUUUUUCCUAUGCACUUCACCUGAAGCAUGUAUGCUAUGACCCCACCUAUACCGUGCACAGUAGCCACACAAGAGAUCCUACUACCUCCGUUGGCAUGAGGAACAGAGGGAUACAUUCAAGAGUAUAUGGGCCAGAAAUAUGAAGGUGUGUUUGUCUGUCUACUUCUCUAACAGCUUGGGAAGAUGAGGAUUUAUGUCUGUGCAGCUGUCAGUUCUUCUGGAAGAAGGUGGAGAAGGUCUUGCUCUGACUCUGCUUUUUAGGACCUAUUUAAAACUAAGAUGACAACUGUUUUGGAGAACAUGGAAAGGUGACAUCCAAAGGUUGUUUGAAAUCCAAAACAGGAUCUAAAGUUCUCUCCUCCACAAGACCAUGAGGUAUUCAGUGGUGUGGGUGCUUUCCUCCUUGUGCAGUCAUUCCUGAACCACUGUCCUCUUCUUAUGGACAAUAACUGAGAAGGUGGCAGCUCCUGGGCAUUGCCUAUGGUAUAGAUAUGGUAUCCCUCUUUGGGAUAGCUGGUCCAAGCUUGGGAUGGUGACAAGUAUCGGGUUCAAAGCUUCUCCUUCUCCCUGCAUGGCCACACCAAAUAGCUGUGGUGUUUGGUGAUUCAUGUUACUCCCAUCCAGUGGCAGCUGUGGAGAAAGGAAACACAUGACACUGACAUGAUCCUUCCUCCUCCCAUGCCAACAUCCCAUUCUGCCUGGCUUGGGGUGGGGGUAUCCACAGAUAAAGAGACAGGAUCUCCUUUUUUUAAAAAGUUUUUUUAUUUUUUUUGGAAAAAGAGCUUUAGAACUUCUCCCUUCCAUCUCUUCUACCUCACCGCCCCCUUUCCCUCUGGAGCAAACAGCAUUCAAAGGAUUCAGGCUAAUCUUAUUAAAGACUUGACACUAGCACCACUUCCUGGGCUAACAGACCAAGAACAGACUUUAACCGUGCCCCUGAGAUGUUCCAUUGAGGAAAGCAUCAAGCACAACAAGGCUUAACUCCUCCUAGGAUAUACGUUACCGCACACACUGCCUUUCACCUCCUCAGUGGGCGUCAGGAGCUCACUUAUGGAACUCAAGCUGCAGAAUAGCUGAACCUUCAGAAGGAAGUGGAGAGGUGGGCUGCCUACUGGCUCUAGCAUUUGCUGAGGGGGUGUUUGGUUGUUCCUGCCAGAAGUAAAAGAUGCUCUGCAUGGACCUGUUAAAAAAGAGUAAGUCUGGCUGUAAAUAGGCAUUUCACCAUGAUCGUACUGCUUACAAAUGUCACUGAGAAGUGGUGACUUCUCACCAACAUACAUGCAGAAAGAAGAGAAUUCUCCUAAUACAAGCCAAAUAUGGAUAAAACUUACUCCCAACCAAUUAUUUGCCCCAGAUGAACAUGACAAGGUAGUGAAGCUGUAAUAGUGUGUACUACAUAGAGAACAAUCCCCUGAAAGGCUCCCAUCACCUAUCUUUGCAGUCCUUAUGGCACGAGAGGGGAGCAGAGCAAUGAGAACUCUCUUGGAUCAUCACCCAUGAGCAGGGUUUGUGGCUGGUUGACACAAGCUUGAAGGGGACUUGUGCUUUUUCUAUAGCUCAUUAGCUUCAGGAGUGGGGAAGCUGCCUUCCUGCUCUUCCUGACAGGUUGCUGACAUCAUCCAGUUUGUUGUUAUGCAGCAGAGGUCCCAAUGCGUGUGAAAGACUUCAGAAAGUGCCCAGAACCCUUAAAGCAUUCUUCUCUGCUGAAGAUCAAGUGAUCCAGAUGUUGAUGUGGCCAUCAGCAGCGAGAUGGAGGAAGUAGGAGGGCAGUCAAGACGCCAGUAGCUAUACUGCCAAGCAGGGAGUCUUGUCUCAAGAACACAAUAGCCCAUCUAUCACCUUACCUAGAGACAGGAUUCUAGGGCAAAGAGUUAGAAAUGAGUGAUUUGACCCUGUUGAAUGGACUGCUCAUGAAAUAAAUGGUAGAAGUUGGCUUUAGUAUUUGUUACCAUCCCUUCUCUAUACAAAGCCGGAUGAGUAGGAAUCCCUUUGCCCUCCCCAGGAUACCUCUCUUCAGGGAGGCUUGUCAUGUACUUACCCUAAAACAAAAUCCGUCCUCUCUUGUGUUUGGUCAUAGCAAGUGACUUGGGUGAGUGGUAUAUUCUGAUGCUUGUUCUGUAGAUAGUAGUCUUGAUGAGUGGUCACCAGCACUCAGACAAGAUGGCUGUGACCCACCCAGCUGGGGCCACCAUGGAACUUCCCAGCAUGGGAUACUACAAGGGAUCCUGCCCAAAGUUUCAACUGGAAUCAAAGCCAUGUGGCAAAGAGACUAUGUGCUUCCUGCUUGACACUAUGCUCUGAGGUUCAAUUUGUCCUCUCAGAUCUUGCAUGUGAUAUCCCUAGGCUCUGUGCCAACGCUGUUCUUCA